GGAGUUUGGGCCGUGUCUCAGUCCCAAUGUGGCCGGUCACCCUCUCAGGUCGGCUACUGAUCGUCGCCUUGGUGAGCCGUUACCUCGCCAACUAGCUAAUCAGACGCGGGUCCAUCUUGUACCGAAAAUACUUUUCACACUGCAUCAUGCGAUGCUGUGCGCUUAUGCGGUAUUAGUAGUCGUUUCCAACUGUUGUCCCCCUGUACAAGGUAGGUUACCCACGCGUUACUCACCCGUGCGCCGGUCGCCAUCACAGAUAGCAAGCUACCUGCAUGCUGCCCCUCGACUUGCAUGUGUUAAGCCUGUAGCUAGCGUUCAUC
Molecule: ribosomal RNA, 320 nt
Filed under: uncultured Lachnospiraceae bacterium
Lineage: Bacteria; Bacillati; Bacillota; Clostridia; Lachnospirales; Lachnospiraceae
Description: partial 16S ribosomal RNA
Source: RNAcentral